GGCACUGCAAGUCAAGGGUGAAAUCCCGGGGCUCAACCUCGGGACUGCCCUUGAAACUGCAGCGCUAGAAUCGUGGAGAGGCGAGUGGAAUUCCGAGUGUAGAGGUGAAAUUCGUAGAGAUUCGGAAGAACACCAGUGGCGAAGGCGACUCGCUGGACAAGUAUUGACGCUGAGGUGCGAAAGCGUGGGGAGCAAACAGG
Molecule: ribosomal RNA, 200 nt
Filed under: uncultured bacterium
Lineage: Bacteria
Description: partial 16S ribosomal RNA
Rfam family: Bacterial small subunit ribosomal RNA
Source: RNAcentral